RNAcentral lists this ribosomal RNA (497 nucleotides) under uncultured bacterium. Its description in RNAcentral is "partial 16S ribosomal RNA". It matches the Rfam family "Bacterial small subunit ribosomal RNA", at positions 28 to 507 of the family's 1533-position model. The record is from RNAcentral.
GAUGAACGCUGGCGGCGUGCCUAACACAUGCCAGUCGAACGGAAACACGAGGCGCUUUGCCCUUUUACGUUAGAGUGGCGCACGUGUGAGUCACGUGUGUGAAACACCUCUAUGUCUGGGGUAAACUCGUGAAAACGGUGGUUAAACCCGAUAAUCUAUUUAAGCCCAUGGUUGGGUAGUUUAGGACGGCUUUGCCGUGACUUAUCCAUGGUUCCGGUCGGGAUUAGCUAGUUGGUGGGGUAACGGCUUACCAAGGCAACGAUGCGUAGCGGACCUGAGAGGGUGACCAGCCACACUGGAACUGAGACACGGUCCAGACUCCUACGGGAGGCAGCAGUAGGGAAUAUUGCGCAAUGGGCGAAAGCCUGACGGAGCAACGCCGCGUGAGUGAUGAAGGUCUUCGGAUGGUAAAGCUCUGUUAUCAGGGAAGAAGAAAGGUAAGAUAAUCCAUGCGCUUAUUGACGUUACCGGAUGAAGAAGCCCCGGCUAACUACGUG